GGCAGAGUGGCCUUGCUGCCA
Molecule: non-coding RNA, 21 nt
Filed under: Arabidopsis thaliana (thale cress)
Lineage: Eukaryota; Viridiplantae; Streptophyta; Magnoliopsida; Brassicales; Brassicaceae
Source: RNAcentral